CACGUUAGAGCGCUUUGCUGACGUGGACACAAAUCGUUCUUACGUGGACGAGAUUUGUUGCCGUGUCAGCAAAGCGCGCUAACGAGG
Gossypium hirsutum (cotton) is the source of this 87-nucleotide non-coding RNA. The record is from Rfam. NCBI's taxonomy places the organism in Eukaryota, Viridiplantae, Streptophyta, Magnoliopsida, Malvales, Malvaceae.